UUGGCUCAGGAUGAACGCUGGCGGCAGGCUUAACACAUGCAAGUCGAGGGGCAGCGCGGGAGUAGCAAUACUUCUGGCGGCGACCGGCGCAAGGGUGCGUAACGCGUGAGCAACAUACCCGUCACAGGGGGAUAAGCGAUGGAAACGUCGUCUAAUACCGCAUAAAACUUAGGGCGGCAUCGUCCGGAGUUGAAACUUACGAGGGUGACGGAUUGGCUCGCGAGACAUUAGGUAGACGGCGGGGUAACGGCCCACCGUGCCGACGAUGUCUAGGGGUUCUGAGAGGAAGGUCCCCCACACUGGGACUGAGACACGGUCCAGACUCCUACGGGAGGCAGCAGUGGGGAAUA
This 350-nucleotide ribosomal RNA is filed under the name uncultured rumen bacterium. Its description in RNAcentral is "bacterial SSU rRNA". It matches the Rfam family "Bacterial small subunit ribosomal RNA", at positions 19 to 363 of the family's 1533-position model. The record is from RNAcentral.